This 45-nucleotide non-coding RNA is filed under the name Schistosoma mansoni. The record is from RNAcentral. Lineage: Eukaryota; Metazoa; Platyhelminthes; Trematoda; Strigeidida; Schistosomatidae.
AUCCAGCUGAUGAGUCCCGAAUAGGACGAAACGCACGUCCUCGAU